GACGAACGCUGGCGGCGUGCUUAACACAUGCAAGUCGAACGGAAAGGCCCGGCUUUUGUUGGUUGCUCGAGUGGCGAACGGGUGAGUAACACGUGAGUAACCUGCCCUUGACUUUGUGAUAACUUCAGGAAACUGGGGCUAAUACCGGAUAGGAUCUCCUGCUGCGUGGGGGGGGUUGGAAAGUGUCGGCGGUUGUGGAUGGACUCGAGGCUUAUCAGCUUGUUUGUCGGGUAGUGGCGUCCCAAGGCUUUGACGGGUAGCCGGCCUGGGAGGGUGACCGGCCACCUUGGGACUGAGAUACGGACCAGAAUCCUACGGGAGGCAGCAGUGGAGAAUAUUGCACAAUGGGCGGAAGCGUGAUGCAGAAACGCUGCGUGCGGGAUGACGGCCUUCGGGUUGUAAACCGAUUUGGACUGUGCCGAAGCGUGAGUGACGGUAAUGGGUAAAGAAGCCACGGCUAACUACGUG
Molecule: ribosomal RNA, 468 nt
Filed under: uncultured bacterium
Lineage: Bacteria
Description: partial 16S ribosomal RNA
Rfam family: Bacterial small subunit ribosomal RNA
Source: RNAcentral